This 1439-nucleotide ribosomal RNA is filed under the name metagenome. RNAcentral describes it as "bacterial LSU rRNA". It matches the Rfam family "Bacterial large subunit ribosomal RNA", at positions 1506 to 2925 of the family's 2925-position model. The record is from RNAcentral.
CCUGGGGUAAGCAUGUAGGGCGGAACGUAGGUAAAUCCGCGUUCUAUUCAGCCUGAGAUGUGAUGCCGAGCCGAUUGUGGUGAAGUGGAUGAUCCUAUGCUGCCGAGAAAAGCCUCUAGUGAGUGUUGUGGCGGCCCGUACCCUAAACCGACUCAGGUGGUCAGGUAGAGAAUACCAAGGCGAUCGGGUGAACUGUGGUUAAGGAACUCGGCAAAUUGCCCCCGUAACUUCGGGAGAAGGGGGACCUCUGCUGGUGAUGGGCUUUACGUUCUGAGCUGGUGGGGGUCGCAGUGGCCAGGGGGAAGCGACUGUUUACUAAAAACACAGGUCCGUGCGAAGUCGUAAGACGAUGUAUACGGACUGACGCCUGCCCGGUGCCGGAACGUUAAGGGGACCGCUUAGCCAGCUUCGGUUGGCGAAGGUGAGAACUUAAGCGCCGGUAAACGGCGGUGGUAACUAUAACCAUCCUAAGGUAGCGAAAUUCCUUGUCGGGUAAGUUCCGACCUGCACGAAUGGCGUAACGACUUCCCCGCUGUCUCAACCACAGACCCGGCGAAAUUGCACUACGAGUAAAGAUGCUCGUUUCGCGCAGCAGGACGGAAAGACCCCGGGACCUUCACUACAGCUUGACAUUGGCGUUUGGAACGUCUUGUGUAGGAUAGGUGGGAGACUGGGAAGCUGUCACGCUAGUGAUGGUGGAGUCAUUGGUGAAAUACCACUCUGGUCGUUUUGAACGUCUAACUCUGGUCCGUGAUCCGGAUCGGGGACAGUGUCUGGUGGGUAGUUUAACUGGGGCGGUUGCCUCCUAAAGAGUAACGGAGGCGCCCAAAGGUUCCCUCAGCCUGGUUGGCAAUCAGGUGUUGAGUGUAAGUGCACAAGGGAGCUUGACUGUGAGACUGACAGGUCGAGCAGGAGCGAAAGCUGGGACUAGUGAUCCGGCAUCGGCGUGUGGAAGCGGUGUCGCUCAACGGCUAAAAGGUACCCCGGGGAUAACAGGCUGAUCUUCCCCAAGAGUCCAUAUCGACGGGAUGGUUUGGCACCUCGAUGUCGGCUCGUCGCAUCCUGGGGCUGGAGUAGGUCCCAAGGGUUGGGCUGUUCGCCCAUUAAAGCGGUACGCGAGCUGGGUUUAGAACGUCGCGAGACAGUUCGGUCCCUAUCCGCUGCGCGCGCAGGAGACUUGAAGGGGGCUGUCCCUAGUACGAGAGGACCGGGACGGACGUACCUCUGGUGUGCCAGUUGUACCGCCAGGUGCACGGCUGGUUGGCUACGUUCGGAAGGGAUAACCGCUGAAAGCAUCUAAGCGGGAAGCUCGCCUUGAGAUGAGGUCUCCCACCCUGUGAGGGGGUAAGGCUCCCGGUAGAUCACCGGGUUGAUAGGCCGGAGGUGGAAGCACGGUAACGUGUGGAGCUGACCGGUACUAAUAGGCCGAGGACUUGAUC